Molecule: long non-coding RNA, 3981 nt
Organism: Gadus morhua (Atlantic cod)
Lineage: Eukaryota; Metazoa; Chordata; Actinopteri; Gadiformes; Gadidae
Source: Ensembl
UGAGGUUUUCAGCCACACUGUCUCUGCUGGUAAAUUUUUUCAUCUUCUCAAAAACUUUUCUUCAAUAACUAACUGCAGAUUGUAAUGUGACACUGACCACCUAUUCAAUUGUCGUAUCUGUUUUGAUCAAGGCAUUUCUGCGAUGGUAACAUUGCAGAGACUGCCAGCAGAGGCAAAAGAUACAGCUGACUGUGUAGCCAAAUUAAAUCACCUUUUUGAUGUGCUAAAUUCCAGGUAAUUAUGUAAAAAAAAAUAGCACCUUAACUUUACAAACAUACAACUUACUAACUACACCCUAUUAACUACGACCUACCUACCUUGACCCCACUAACUACGACUAUCUACCUACAACUAUACUACUUGCAGAUCCGUCAAGGAUUCUAACCCCUGGCGACGACCCCUAAGCUCAGGAAACCAGGAGAAGGAGAACUUCCUGAGGGAAUGCAUCAGCUGGGUGGCAAGCUGGCAGUUCAGAAGAUGAUGGAGAAUGCAUGCAGUGGGCUGAAUGGAGAAUUCGUGAAUCAAAGGCAACACCAUCAAAAGCAUUAUGAAAUUAAGCACUAUCAGGUUGUCAAGGCUGUAGCUCAGCGGGCACAUGGUCCUGGAUACCUGAUUUUUUUUAACUAUUAUAUAUGGAAUCUCUAUGCACUCCAAGAAAUGCUGCAGUUCUUUGUGCCACAAGAGGCCAAGAAGCUGUACUACAAGAAGUUGAGGCAGAAGAUGAAGAUUAUUACAAAUUAUCCAAGUCAGUUCCGACUAGAGCCCGACAUAUAUAUCGGCAGGCCGAUAUUAUCGGCCGAUAUUAGGCAUUUUUCAAACUAUUCGGUAUCGGCAUUUAUAAUGGCCGAUAAAUGAAUAUAAAAAAAAAAAAAGGUUUGUCCACCAGAGGGCUCUAAUGCCCAAACCCGCUGAUUCAGCCAGAGUUAGGCAGAGUGAAUGACGGAGAUCGACGGAGAUCAUCGGUGUUGUUCAUGUGUGCAAGUGUGUUCAUGGUAAGUUGGCAACUGUCACGAGACAUACAUUGCUUGAAUAAAAAUUAAAAGAACAUCCCCAUCAAUUCUCUAAAGUUAGCUGAGAGUGAAAAGGAUUUAAAGGAUAACUACAAAUAACCAAUGUUAGGGAAAUUUGUUGGUUUUGUUGCGCGUUUCUGGAUUCUUUUUUUUAUAUAUAUAUAUAUCGGCCGAUAUAUCGGCAUAUCGGAUUUUUGAAUCACAAAAUAUUCGUAUCGGUAUCGGCCUUAAAAAUUCUAUAUCGGUCGGGCUCUAGUUCCGACCAAGUAAUUUGAUUGGACAAGAGGCAUUCCAGUGCUGAUAUAGAGUAUAACAGCACUGGGUCUUUUAACUAUACACGUAUCGCUCCGCUUUAUGGGUGUUCUCAUAACCGCCAAUGUUAUUAACAAUCUUUUUGUAGCUUAGAUUGCAGCUAACUUUGCACAGCAAAUAUGAACAUGUUUCCAGGAAUAACAUUAGAGUUGAAUUAAGAAUGGUCGCCAGAAGAGGACCAAGGGAACCUAAUGUAAUGCUAAUGUGUUUAUGUGUUGCUUGGCAACAGUUCAGUCCAGUUGCGGAUCUAUUUGUGUUUAGUGCUGUUGUACUGAAUAUCAGCACGGCUGUGAUUCUCUUCGGCACUCGGCCAACGGCCUCAUACCUACGACCGAAUCCCAGCCGUAGUACAACAGCACUCCCUCCUGAGUGAUAUUGCUUUUAUACAACAGUUCUACAAGCACCAAUCAUUAGUUAACAAUAAUAAUUAACAACAUAUUAUGAUCAGAUUUCUUUGGUUCAUUAAUGAUUUAUUAUAAAAAAUUUGAAUACGUUUCUGAAAGUAGUGCUUUGAGAUGUUUGAGAUAACAAACAUUUAAUAUGUUGGAAAUAUUUUUGGUCGCUGUGUCAUAAUUCAGCUUAAUAUUUAAUAUAUUGUUUCUUAUGGCACAUUAACGAGAAAAUGUCAAACUGGCACUGAAUGUUGAAAAGGUUGCUGACCCCUGGUUACUGUAUUCCCUCUCCCGCUCCAUUACAUGUAUGUUAGUUUAUUUCAAGUUAACUUGUUUUUCUGUGUUAUUACAACCUUGCAACACAUUUCCAUUAAUGUAGUUUGUUUAUUCCUUAACAGUUUUCAAAAAACAAUCAAAUGGGUAUUAAAACCUUAAUCUUUGUCAAGCCAAACUCUUGAGUAAUUAUUUCAAAGAAUUGGGGCGUGGAAAUCAAUGAGGUAAGUGGGCUUUGGGUCUUAUCUUAUGACUAACUUUGGAUCUGAACUAAUGUGAAUUGUGAGUAGAUUCCAUGGUGUUUACAUCGCUUUACUAGGAUUUCUAAAAAUCCGGAAACCGACUAUUUUAACCAACAAUCAACCCGUUUUCGACGCCCCAUUGCUGUCUGGGUUGCCUUCUGCAUAUUUCGUGCGUUGUCAUGAAGCACAACAUGCACAUUUUCUUUCGGUAUUUUCCACUGAGCAAACAUGCCGUCAAAUGCACUAGCUAUGGCAGUCCCCAGCAAAUUCUUGUGCAUGUAACACAGCUCUUCUCAUUUCAAAGUCGUCAUCAAUCCAUUGAGCAGUCAGGCUUAACAUACUCAUCUGACUGAUGUUGGAGGUCCAUAUAUCUGUCGUGAAGCUAAUGUCAUUCACACUGCUGUCCAAUAGGUUGUGGAUAUUUGUGGCUACCACUUCGUACAAAGCAGGGAGGGAAACGUCUGAAAAGUAACGGCGACUUGGAAGGCUGUAGCGGGGUUCAAUGUGCUCUAUCAGCUGACGAAAGCCUCGGUCCUCCACUAAGGAAAAUGGCUGGUCGUCAAGAGCCAUCAUUUCCAUUACCUUGUUCGUGAUUGACUUGGCCUUCGCGCUGUCCUUGGCAAAUUUCUUUGAUUGGUCGAAUGCUUGCUGUAUUGGGCUCCCGACUGCGGCUGCUGUGGUUUUCGUUUUGGGCUGCUUGCUAGCAACUUUAGCUUCCUGGCAUUGUAUGUGAACUUCUGGAUGGCGGGUUUUCAAAUGACUCAUUAAAUUGGUGGUGUUGAAUUAUUUCACACGGCAUCCUCCGCAUUACUUGGGCUUUGCAAGUAUUGCAUAUUGCAAUUCGAGUGUCUUCAAUUGAUACCGUAAAAAAUGUCCAAACCGCCGACAUUGAUUCUUUUUUCUAUUUAUUUUCUUUCAGAUUAUUUUCAGUUAACAAAACACAGGUAACAAACACGACUGUAUGCCUCUCCGUGCGUCUCUGCUGGCUGCGUCACUCGUAGACAUCUUAUAUGAUAGACGGAGCAUCGAAUGCUACCGCCUACUGGCGCUGACGAGACUAACAUCGGGCGAUAACAAUAUCCCUGCCGAUAUAUCGUGCAUCCCUAGCUAUAAUCAACAGCAGGCCACUAAGUGUUGAGCAUCUGUAUGAUCCUACCGGUCCAGAACCGCUUACUCCAAACCAUACUCCAUACCACCCUGAACACGCCAGAUCUCGUCUGAUCUCGGAAGCUAAGCAGGGUCGGGACUGGUAAGUACUUGGAUGGGAGACCGCCUGGGAAUACCAGGUGCUGUAAGUGGUGUCGGGUGGUGGCCAAUAGGUGGCACUCUUCCCUCUGGCCCCUUCACUCAUCAAUCCCAGUGCAGUGAUGGGGACACUGUGCUGUGGAAGGUGCCGUCCUUCGGAGGAGACGUAAAACCGAGGUCCUGACUCACUGUGGUCAUAAAAGAUCCCAGGACACUUAUCGCAAAGAGUAGGGGUUUCCCCGGUGUCCUGGCCCAACCAGGCUCAUUCAAUCUGGCCCCCUAAUAAUCCUCCUGUACAAUUGGGUGACUCAUCAAUACCCUCACUCUCCACCUCAAGCUGGUGUGUGGUGAGCGUUCUGGCGCAGAUUGGCUGCCGUGCAUCACCCAAGUGGGUGCUACACACUGCUGGUGGUGAGUUAGGUCCCCCCCUUCUGUAAGCGUCUUUGGGUCAUUGAAAAGCGCUAUAUAAAUAUAAUGAAUUAUUAAUUAUUAUUAUUAAUUAAUUUA